Long non-coding RNA from Anolis carolinensis (green anole), 753 nucleotides. RefSeq lists it as uncharacterized. The record is from RefSeq and is a predicted model, not a curated record. Lineage: Eukaryota; Metazoa; Chordata; Lepidosauria; Squamata; Anolidae. The transcript is spliced from 3 exons.
UCCUGGCUCUCAGACAGCUGGCUCAGUAGAGGCCAAAGAAAGACACAGAGGAAAAAUGAAAUAUUCUGUCUCAGGCAAACAGAAAGAAAAUAAGUACAAGCCACAGUCCACAAAAAGCUAUCACAGUGCAUUCAGAGAACUACUUGUCUUGAAAUGGAAAAGACAAUUCUAAUUUCAGGGAACAGGCAGCUAUGAAUGGGUAACACCUAUCAAGGGUUAUCAAUCCAACAACGUUUCUGUCACCUCCCUUGGUGCAAUGGAUCCGUUCCACUUCCAUAUCAGCAUGCCAGCAUUAAAAUGAUGUCAGAGGGCUUGAAUAUCAUUUGUUGUUGUCCCGCUCCAGAUAGAUGUACAGAGAAGUCAUCUUCUGCAAACGUUUCUCUGCUGGGUAGGAAAACAUGCAAGCAGAUCGUCAAUGUAUUGGGAAGACAUCUCCACAUGUAUGUGAAUAAACUCUAGGCUCUUGUUUUUCCUAUUCUGUAACAGAAUUUUGAUUUUGCUUUAAUAAUUUCCUUUCCUUUGCAUGUUUUUCUGACUUCUGUGCAAGUGUACUGUUUGCCAUAAAUUUUGGCUGCCAUUGGAAUUAUUCCUAUUAACAACUGUUUCUGUUUCCCUACCCCACUUUUUGUUUAUUAAUUUUCUAUUAAUUCAUACGCAAGAUGUCAAGACGUAAAGAAAACUCCACUCUAGAUUUCAAGUGUUUUAAUUCAUAUUUUUAAUCCACACACUAUGUUUUUCCUUAAAAAUAUUAUU